This 501-nucleotide ribosomal RNA is filed under the name uncultured bacterium. RNAcentral describes it as "partial 16S ribosomal RNA". It matches the Rfam family "Bacterial small subunit ribosomal RNA", at positions 899 to 1397 of the family's 1533-position model. The record is from RNAcentral.
ACUCAAAUGAAUUGACGGGGACCCGCACAAGCGGUGGAGCAUGUGGUUUAAUUCGAGGCUACGCGAAGAACCUUACCCAGGCUUGACAUGGUUAAGACAGCGCAUGAAAGUGCGUCUCUCCGCAAGGAGCUUUUCCACAGGUGCUGCAUGGCUGUCGUCAGCUCGUGCUGUGAAGUGUUGGGUUAAGUCCCGCAACGAGCGCAACCUUUAUUGUUAGUUGGCAUCACGUCAUGGUGGCCACUCUAAUGAGACUGCCGGUGAUAAACUGGAGGAAGGAGGAGACGACGUCAAGUCAGUAUGGCCCUUAUGCCUGGGGCUACACACGUGCUACAAUGGCCGCCACAAAGGGCAGCAAACCCGCGAGGGGGAGCAAAUCCCAAAAAAACGGCCCCAGUUCAGAUCGGAGGCUGCAAUUCGCCUCCGUGAAGUCGGAAUCGCUAGUAACGGUAGAUCAGCUACGCUACCGUGAAUACGUUCCCGGGUCUUGUACACACCGCCCGU